This 124-nucleotide ribosomal RNA is filed under the name Pteropus vampyrus (large flying fox). Lineage: Eukaryota; Metazoa; Chordata; Mammalia; Chiroptera; Pteropodidae. The record is from RNAcentral.
AUUAUUUGUUAAUUUUACUUGAAUGCAAAUGACUGUUUUUCUGUCUGAUCUCAGAAGCUAAGCAGGGUUGGGCCUGGUUAGUACUUGAAUGGGAGACCACCUAGGAAGACCAGGUGCUAUAGGC